Molecule: long non-coding RNA, 781 nt
Filed under: Homo sapiens (human)
Lineage: Eukaryota; Metazoa; Chordata; Mammalia; Primates; Hominidae
Description: HSALNT0145078
Source: RNAcentral
CGGGAAGCCUGGCCAGCAGGCAAGCCAGGACAGCCCACUCAUUGCUUCCUACCCUCAUGAGACUCUUGGUGGAAAGGCUCCGGGCUGCAAUGGUGCCUCAGGAUACAGAGAUGCCCCCCAGCCAGUGUGACCUUGCAGUGUGUUCCAGCCCAGGCUUCAGGGUCCACAGGUCCUUCGGCAAAACAGAACCAUCUCCUGCUCUCUGCCUGCACCACACCUGGGACACGCUGACAUUCUGAGCACUGUGAGAUUCUAAUCGCCCUCCAGAAGCAGCUGCUAUUAGCUCCUCUCCUGAGCCUCCGAAUCCCCGAUGCUCAGCAAAAUUCCCCUCUGAUGGAAGCAGCUGUGCUCAGACGCCGCCCGUCUGCCUCCAGAGCUCAUCAAAGCCCCUCAAAGGGAAGAUUAGCAGCAGCUCCCAUCAGCGGGGGCAUUGUCGCCAUUCAGCGCCUAAGCCAUGCUUGGCCACUCGGGCCUCAUGGAAGACACAGAAUUAGAGAAUAUUGGACUCUUAAAAGCACAGACUCUCAGAAGCAUAGGCUUUCAGAAGCAUGGAAUCAUCCAAUCUUCUCCACAAAUCAGCUUAGGGUGUUAGAAUUUUAAGGAUGCGUCCUUUUAGAAGCUUAGACUCUUAGAAAUCACCUCAAAUUUUAUUCUGAUUAAGUUUAGGGUGAAAUAGGUAAAUCUUAUCUUUGACACUGUCUUAGAAGCCUGGCAUCUUAGCUUAUUAAACCUCAGAAUUUGAAACACCAGUGAGCUGCAGAAACCGUAUCAUCUGGGGGGC